UUUACGACGCCGUGAUUCGAGCUCACAUCCGCUGCCGUUAGAUUUCUAUUCAACCGUGUUUUACUGCCCUAUGGUGGAGGAUAACCCCGGGAAACUGGGGAUAAUACUCCAUAAGUCAGGAGUACUGGAAUGUCUCCUAACUGAAAGUUGCGGCGCCAUAGGAUGAAUCUGCGGCCGAUUAGGUAGUUGUUGGGGUAACGGCCCAACAAUUCCGUAAUCGGUACGGGUUGUGGGAGCAAGAGCCCGGAGAUGGAAUCUGAGACACGAUUCCAGGCUUUUACGGCAGCGCAUUAGGCGCGAAAACUUUACAAUGCAGGAAACUCUCUUUUUGGGAACCCCGAGUGCCCGUACACGCGGGCUGUCCCGGUGUUUAAAACACAUCGGAAGAAAGGGCCGGGCAAGACCGGUUCCUUUUCGUCCGCGGUAAUACCGGCGGCUCGAGUGGUGACCACUUUUAUUGGGCUUAAAGCGUUCGUAGCUUGAUUUUUAAGUCUCUUGGGAAAUCUCACGGCUUAACUGUGAGGCGUCUAAGAGAUACUGGGAAUCUAGGGACCGGGAGAGGUAAGAGGUACUUCAGGGUAGAGUGAAAUUCUGUAAUCCUUGGAGGGACCACCGAUGGCGAGGCAUCUACAGACGGCUUCGACAGUGGAAGGACGAGCUGGGGAGCGACGGAAUAGAUACCGGUAGUCCAGCCGGUUAACUAUGUCGCGUUAGGUGUGCCUG
This 723-nucleotide ribosomal RNA is filed under the name uncultured archaeon. RNAcentral's name for it is "bacterial SSU rRNA". It matches the Rfam family "Archaeal small subunit ribosomal RNA", at positions 40 to 779 of the family's 1478-position model. The record is from RNAcentral.